Long non-coding RNA from Daphnia carinata, 814 nucleotides. RefSeq lists it as uncharacterized. The record is from RefSeq and is a predicted model, not a curated record. NCBI's taxonomy places the organism in Eukaryota, Metazoa, Arthropoda, Branchiopoda, Diplostraca, Daphniidae. The transcript has 2 exons.
AGACCCCUAAACCCUCAACUGUUAACCAGGCUAAAGCAAUUCGUCCACUUCCCCGAACUCCCCCUCGGGAUCCUCCACCUCCUCCACCCACUACAGGCUCUCUCGGAAGAAAGCCUUCCACCCUUGAUACGAAAUUAGCGAUUCUCAAGAAAGAAAUGGCUGGGCUAAGACAAAUAGACAUGCAAUUGAUGAAUCAGCUGUGGUCCCUUCAGCAGUCAAUUCAAGACUUGAAAUGCAUCAUGAGUACAUCUGAUAUGUCACCCCAGUCGGCCGUUGAUCCUUGGGAGCUCAAUCAUCAUGAACGAAACAACGAAGAUUUUUGUCGGAGUCCCCAUCGCUUGAGUGCGGUUAACGAAAAUGAACAUAUUUCAUCAUCAACUUCUUCCAUUUCGUCGGGUAGUGGUGAAAAACCGUGAUUUUUUUUUCCAUUUGCGCGUGAACCAUGGAAAAUUGCUGUGAAGUGAAACAAAUGGAGCGUGAAUUGCCAGGGUGGAUGACUAAAACUACAGUGACACAAACUAGAGAUUGCAAGCCGUCUAAUACUGCGGUGGUCUCGGGCAAAGUGUGUGAUCGAAGAUUAGCUUAUUUGAUGAGCCCACGGGAAUUGCAGAUGGUUGCCAAGGAAAUUCUUGGUCUUAAGUGAAUGUUUUGUGUGACAUGUCGAUGCAGCCCUAUUGAUAUUCAUUCCAAUCGUCAUUUUCAUUUUCGUAAUAAUCUUUUUCGUUAACUUUUAUUCAUUGGGUAUCGGUGUAUAGAGUGGUCCCGUAACAACAAGAAUGAGGGGAAAAUGAAUAAAUUUCAAUUUCACUAGCCA